UCUGCUUUAUCCCGAGUUACUAGCCGGACAGGGAGGAGGGGCAGCGUUUUCUGGUUCCAGGAGGGGAAAGUACGGAUCAGAUCCGGCCUCUUGAUGUGUGCAGAAAGGUUUUCUCUGCUGUUCCCCAACCUGAGAACGGGCCCUGGAAAAGUACUUCUUGUUGGUUAGAGCUGCAGACUGGCUCAGACUCUCUAUCUUUUCCUGCCUGACCCUCAUUUGAAUGUGUUUGGAGCAGACGAUCAUGAGCAGGGAGGUGCUGCUGACAUGAAGGGCACGUGCUGCCAAAGGGGCAUGUUGACUGCCCUGAAAGUGCUAGAGAUGAUGGAACUCAGGACCCAAACUCCAAGCAAAUUCUUCCACUGGCG
Molecule: long non-coding RNA, 365 nt
Organism: Diceros bicornis minor
Lineage: Eukaryota; Metazoa; Chordata; Mammalia; Perissodactyla; Rhinocerotidae
Exons: 3
Source: RefSeq, a predicted model, not a curated record